Molecule: ribosomal RNA, 403 nt
Filed under: Fusobacteriota bacterium
Lineage: Bacteria; Fusobacteriati; Fusobacteriota
Description: Fusobacteria bacterium partial 16S ribosomal RNA
Rfam family: Bacterial small subunit ribosomal RNA
Source: RNAcentral
UGGGGAAUAUUGCACAAUGGAGGGAACUCUGAUGCAGCGACGCCGCGUGAACGAAGAAGGCUUUCGAGUCGUAAAGUUCUUCUAUAUGGGAAGAUAAUGACGGUACCAUAAGAAAAAGCCCCGGCUAACUACGUGCCAGCAGCCGCGGUAAUACGUAGGGGGCUAGCGUUGUCCGGAAUCACUGGGCGUAAAGGGUUCGCAGGCGGAAAUGCAAGUCAGGUGUAAAAGGCAGUAGCUUAACUACUGUAAGCAUUUGAAACUGCAUAUCUUGAGAAGAGUAGAGGUAAGUGGAAUUUUUAGUGUAGCGGUGAAAUGCGUAAAUAUUAAAAAGAAUACCGGUGGCGAAGGCGACUUACUGGGCUCAUUCUGACGCUGAGGAACGAAAGCGUGGGUAGCAAACAGG